This 427-nucleotide long non-coding RNA is filed under the name Homo sapiens (human). Its description in RNAcentral is "HSALNT0405461". Lineage: Eukaryota; Metazoa; Chordata; Mammalia; Primates; Hominidae. The record is from RNAcentral.
GCCUUAGGGAGUAAGUAGUGUGGAUGGAAAGUAUUGGCCUUAAAAUCUGGUCAUGGUUUUUUACCUCUUCCUGACUUGCUGUGCAGCUUGGAUAAGUUUCUUGCCAUCUCUGGGCUUCUGUCUGCUCAUCUGCAAAGUUUUCUGACCUCCUAAAGUUGAUGGCACAGCAGAGGAGAAAAGCAAUUUAUUUACUCAUCAGUUCAUCCCAGACACUGGCAAUACAACAGUGAAUCAAACCAGCUGCCUCCCUGGUGACAGCUAUGUUCUGGUACAGAUUGCAUUUUGAGAGUCCCAGAGAUGGUAUCUCUCCAUGAGUGCCUCAUAGAGGAGGUGAUGUCAGAGCAGGGUUUUGAGGAAUGGAAAGCAUCUGCAAAGGAGAUUAUGAGAGAAGCUCAUGGCAAAGACAAGAGCAGCAGCAAAUGUGGAG